CAGCAGCCACGGUAAUACGUAGGUGGCAAGCGUUGUCCGGAAUUAUUGGGCGUAGAGGGCUCGCAGGCGGUUUCUUAAGUCUGAUGUGAAAGCCCCCGGCUCAACCGGGGAGGGUCAUUGGAAACUGGGAAACUUGAGUGCAGGAGAGGAGAGUGGAAUUCCACGUGUAGCGGUAAAAUGCGUAGAGAUGUGGAGGAACACCAGUGGCGAAGGCGACUCUCUGGUCUGUAACUGACGCUGAGGAGCGAAAGCGUGGGGAGCGAACAGGAUUAGAUACCCCAGUAGUCCCUGUCUCUUAUAC
This 301-nucleotide ribosomal RNA is filed under the name uncultured bacterium. RNAcentral's name for it is "partial 16S ribosomal RNA". It matches the Rfam family "Bacterial small subunit ribosomal RNA", at positions 509 to 807 of the family's 1533-position model. The record is from RNAcentral.